Long non-coding RNA from Glycine soja, 1123 nucleotides. RefSeq lists it as uncharacterized. NCBI's taxonomy places the organism in Eukaryota, Viridiplantae, Streptophyta, Magnoliopsida, Fabales, Fabaceae. The transcript has 4 exons. The record is from RefSeq and is a predicted model, not a curated record.
CCCUAUACUCUUCUUCUACAUAUAAAUAUAUACCAUAUUCUUCUAUUUUCUUCUCACCUUGGCUAGAAUCUUGAUUAAUUCAACACCACUGAAUUUUAAUUUUCUUGGCCUCUAUAUAUCAUACUGAUACACAUAUACUUCAGCUGGUGGUAUAAUCACUGGAUCUGAUUCCCGAAAUGAAUAAUCCUACUUAAUUCUCACAAGAUUCUAAUGCAUGGUUGAUGAGGUUUCUCUCAUUAGCCACUCCCCUACUCAUGAAUUGGAUCAAAGGAAGAUGUUCUGUGCAUUUCCUUGUGGACCCUAAUAUAGUGGACUUCAUUUCGGGAGUGAGAGCCAGUGAUUAUGUCAGUGCAACUCUCGAUUCAAAAGCCUUCUAUAAACAUACUUCGAAAAAUUAAAGGAAAUUAAAGCAUCCCGUGGCGUGGGAAUGGCACUGAGAGUGAUAGAUACCACCAUACCAGGAUUGAUUCAGGGGUCCCUUCUCCUUCCACUUCUUGUCGUCGACCUAAAUAGAUUGAUGCCUCGUCCUGUGCUUUUGUCUUCGUCGUAACCUCUCUACGUGACUAGAAUUGUCACCUCACCUAACGACAACAAUCAUCUCAUCAUCGCUGCUGACAGUAGCACAUUGACGAAGACAAAGAAGAAGAUCGACAAUGCUUAAUUGUGGAUGAGAUUUGACUGGCUGGCCAGUUAGAAUCAUUUUCCAUUGAAACACACUAUUCAACCACUCUAUGCACAACUUGUCUUCGCUUGGCCCGACUGUAGAUGUUGGAUAAAAAAUCAUCUACUUGCCUAGUUCAACCGUGCGCGAUAGUGGAGGUCUUACUUACAAAUCUCACAAAAAGCCACAUUGGGACUUUCUCAUUUAGAUUUGGAUUAAUUGGCGAGUUAAGAUCAUAUUUUUCUCUUUCGUUGAAGACUACUCUUGCUUCGAUCUCUCUUGUUUCUGUUUCCAAUAGCAUAGUUGUAUGAAAUAUUUUUGAUUUCCGAUGAAGAGUAUGAGAAUUUUUGGUAGUUCGAGCGAGAUUAUAUAUUGAUGUUGGUCGAUCUACGUGGUGUUACAUUUUUUACCUUUUCAAAUUUGGAAAAGGUUGGAAGAGAUGAUAAUUUUUUUAGUUGUUUA